Molecule: unclassified non-coding RNA, 329 nt
Filed under: uncultured fungus
Lineage: Eukaryota; Fungi
Description: sequence contains ITS1
Rfam family: 5.8S ribosomal RNA (bases 1-105)
Source: RNAcentral
AAAUUGCGAUAAUUAAUGUGACUUGCAAAUUUUGUGAAUCAUCGAGUAUUUGAAUGCACAUUGCACUUUCUGGUGUUUCUGGAAAGUAUGCUUGUUUGAGCAUCAAUCUUAUAUCCUUGAAAAGUUCGGUUGUGUCUGUCAGCCCUUUUGGUGUUGAAGAUAUGAAGAUCAUCAUGGUUUUGGACACACAGUUUUCUGUUGUCGGUCAAAAGUAAUGGAAUAUUUGCUUGACUGGAUGAUCGGAAAUUGUAUGUGGCUGACUUGUGUGGGAAAACGAUUAAGAAUGUAGAUUUGAUCUCAAAUCAAGCAAGAUUACCCGCUGAACUUAA